RNAcentral lists this transfer RNA (72 nucleotides) under Bos taurus (domestic cattle). It matches the Rfam family "tRNA". Rfam says of the family: Transfer RNA (tRNA) molecules are approximately 80 nucleotides in length. RNAcentral also lists the same sequence under 4 other names. Lineage: Eukaryota; Metazoa; Chordata; Mammalia; Artiodactyla; Bovidae. The record is from Rfam by way of RNAcentral.
UCCCUGGUGGUCCAGUGGUUAGGACUCUGCCUGCCAAUGCAGGGAGUGCAGGUUCGAUCCCUGGUUGGGGAU